This 72-nucleotide transfer RNA is filed under the name Aquificota bacterium. Its description in RNAcentral is "Aquificae bacterium tRNA-Val". It matches the Rfam family "tRNA". Rfam says of the family: Transfer RNA (tRNA) molecules are approximately 80 nucleotides in length. Their secondary structure includes four short double-helical elements and three loops (D, anti-codon, and T loops). Lineage: Bacteria; Pseudomonadati; Aquificota. The record is from RNAcentral.
GCGCGCUUAGCUCAGGGGUAGAGCGUCUCGUUUACACCGAGAAGGUCCGAGGUUCAAAUCCUCGAGCGCGCA